GACGAACGCUGGCGGCGUGCCUAAUACAUGCAAGUCGAACGCACUCUCGUUUAGAUUGAAGGAGUUUGCUCCUGAUUGAUAAACAUUUGAGUGAGUGGCGGACGGGUGAGUAACACGUGGGUAACCUGCCCUAAAGUGGGGGAUAACAUUUGGAAACAGAUGCUAAUACCGCAUAAAACCUAACACCGCAUGGUGUAGGGUUGAAAGAUGGUUUCGGCUAUCACUUUAGGAUGGACCCGCGGUGCAUUAGUUAGUUGGUGAGGUAAAGGCUCACCAAGACCGUGAUGCAUAGCCGACCUGAGAGGGUAAUCGGCGACCCUGGGACUGAGACACGGCCCAGGCUCCUACGGGAGGCAGCAGUAGGGAAUCUUCCACAAUAGACGAAAGUCUGAUGGAGCAACGCCGCGUGAGUGAAGAAGGUUUUCGGAUCGGAAAACUCUGUUGUUGGAGAAGAAUGUAUCUGAUAGUAACUGAUCAGGUAGUGACGGUAUCCAAUCAGAAAGCCACGGCUAACUACGUG
RNAcentral lists this ribosomal RNA (520 nucleotides) under uncultured bacterium. RNAcentral describes it as "partial 16S ribosomal RNA". It matches the Rfam family "Bacterial small subunit ribosomal RNA", at positions 28 to 507 of the family's 1533-position model. The record is from RNAcentral.